CUAGGAGUAGCUCAGUCUGGUCAGAGUACUCGUCUUGGACACGAGUGGUCAUUGGUUCGAAUCCAAUCUUCUAGACCA
Molecule: transfer RNA, 78 nt
Filed under: Thermoproteota archaeon
Lineage: Archaea; Thermoproteati; Thermoproteota
Description: tRNA-Pro
Rfam family: tRNA
About the family: Transfer RNA (tRNA) molecules are approximately 80 nucleotides in length.
Source: RNAcentral